Molecule: long non-coding RNA, 5422 nt
Organism: Lagopus muta (rock ptarmigan)
Lineage: Eukaryota; Metazoa; Chordata; Aves; Galliformes; Phasianidae
Exons: 3
Source: RefSeq, a predicted model, not a curated record
UGAGGCCUCGUGUUUUGGCAGUGAAGCGCUUACCUGGGCUGCCAGCACGCUGCCUGAUCCCCCUGCCCUGCCAGGGGCUGUGCUGUGCUUCUGGAGGAAUUUGAGCAAGGGGUUUCAGCUCUCACCUGGCUUCUCCCAGUUGAAGAGGUGUGCCGUUCUUACUGAAGGCAUGCAUAUGAAGAUUCAAAAAUGAGCACAGCCACAGAAGCAUUAGUAUGCAAUUAAGCCACAGGGCAGGCAACCUGAACAAGCCAGUAUACCAUUGGGUCAACAAAGCACAAAACACCUGGGCUCAAUGCGCUGAAUUGGUGGGUGCUAAUUAGCUCAGUCUUUAAUGCUUCCCCUAAUGAGCCUGUAUAAGCACUCUGCAUUGGGCUGCUCACCAGGAGAAGUUCUCCUGAUCCUCCAGAGCUGCUGCUCUCCUAUAGAGGCAGCUGUGCUGCAUGCAGGGCUGGCACCUCAUACAGGGCUGGUGCUGCAUCAGCUCUGCAGUGCUACCUGGCUGCAAACUGACCGGAGUCAAAUCCAACAAAACCUGGCUGCUGCAACUAUCACGAUGCUUGCCCUCCGGCCGGCAUGCUGGAUAACUGGCUUCCAAGGCAGUCAUUAAUCUCCCCCCAUUACCCAGCUGGCACAGGAAUUCACUGAGAGAGGAGAGCUGCCUGUGUGCCCUCCCAGUGGCAGCUCCCCAAGCCAUCCCCAAGAUGGAUGCACCGGAGCAACGCUCAAGGAAGCAGGGAUGUCACCAAGCACCAUCAGAGGAUCUUGGAUACAUGGGAUGAAUGCAACCUGCCUGUUGGCAACUGCGGAAGAAAGAAGCAGCGUGCAUCUCCAGGGAAAGAUGGCUGGGAUCAGAGCUAAGUUUAGAGAGUUACUUAUUCCACAGCAAUAGCAGCAGAGAGCAGCCCGAUGUAUGCAAGCUACGCAAGUGAAAGGGAGAUGCACAUAAGCCUUCAGCAAGAAAAUACAGCUCAGCAGUACUGUGCUUUCAUCCAACCAUUGGGUUUUGACCCAUCUGGGGUGACAGGGCUGAAAGUGCAUCAGGAGGUAUGUAAUUAACUGAGUGCAGACAGGAGCUGCUGCUCCAGCAAAGCCCUGGUGAAAUGAAAACAAAGCAGGCUGAGAAAGCAUCAAUGCACCAUCUACUGAAGAAGACAAAGUAAUCAGAAACAAGUUUUGUGCCCUUCCUACCUGAAACAGCCAUCUCCCUGCCUCCCACUGCUGUGUGGGAAUGUUUGAGCAUCUGCAUCGAAACACAAAUAACUUUUUCAGGGUGUUUUCUUGGCGUGUCAGCGAGAUGAUGCACAACAAACCUGUCAUAUCCUCUUGGUAACAGUGUUCAUUUGCCACUUUUUUGCACAAGAGCAUUGUGUAUACACACAACACUACACUAACCUGCAUUUGAUCUGGUGGUAGGACCAUAGUUCUCCCACGGCGAGGAAAAACACAGACAAGUUUUUGAUCUUCCUUAAAGCAAUGCUUAUCUCAGUUUUGUUUGUUUUCUGUUUUUUGAGUGCAGGGUAGCGUCUGAUGUGCGUGCCACCCACCACUGCUUAUCUCGGCAGCGAAGCAACCAUUGCAAACCAAAAUAACAGCAUCUUCCUCUGUGCCUGCCCUUCAAGCAGUGACAGGCAUGUUUUGGUAUCGCAGACCCCAGAGCGUUAAGCACCAGUCUCGCACCUGCACACUUGCUGAGAAAUGAGGGGUCCUUUGUUAAGGCUGGCGGAUUACAGGCAAGACGGCUCAAGCAACCCUUUCCUGAGGAUCCUCUGGAGGCACCGUCCCCUCUCAGCCCAAGCAAGCCUCCAAAAAUGUAAUUUUAGAACAUCUGCAGAAUGAGCACCUACAGCAAGAGUUCAAAGCAAUGCCCAGCCAGGAAAAUGAGUGUAAAGCAUGGGGCAUCAGCACGGAGCACUGACUUGCACUCCUGGGGAGACCAGCUGGAGACUAGCAGCCCCUGCAGCUGCCCACAGCUCCUCAACUUCCCAAUGCAAGGACUCUGGCAAGGCCGUGAGAAAACACGACCUCCACCAUCCCCAAGCACUGCUGGGGCCUCCAGCUGCUGGUCCCUUCCUUGCUAUCUGCGGACACUUUCCGGCUCACAAGCUGACACGCGAAGGAUAGCAACAACGACCCUGACGAGUCCCAGGGCGACAGAGGGAAGUGGUUUGAGAGGGGUUUGCUGGAGUCUGUGCACCCAACCAGCCCUCAACCACAUGUUUAGUCUUGUCCCAAUAGCUGUGUCAUUGGCAAACAAAGGACUUCAGCUGGCUACUUUCUCAUGAGCUUUUAAAGAGGGGCAAAAUGGAAAAGAAGCUUUGAGCAGGCAGAGGAAGGAACUCUUGGUUAGCUGGGGAGGAGACAGCCAUCAGCUGUCACACCGUCUGUCUGGCAGCAGCCGGCCAGGCAGCCCCACGCAAGCUUUCCGUCCCAAGCACAUCCUUCCUGGCAGGGAAGGACGCAGGCCCUCAGGAAGCUGCUGCUUCUCCUGCCACGCUCAGCAGUGGGGGUCCCAUAGGGCUCCCGGCGCCUAAAAUGUGUGCCAAAAAUAGAGCCCAGGAGGUGCUAUAUUUAGUGGAGCAAGUGGUGACUUAGGAAGGGCCCCUCCAGCAGAUGGGCAUGGCCUUGUGAUGGGUCCUGUUCCCCAGGUGAGGAUGCUGUGUUGUACCCAGGGAAACGUGCAGCCAUCUCCUCUCAGGGGAUUGUGGGGCAGUGAGGUGGAACAGAUGUCCCACCUCUGCAAGGAGACUUGGAGAGAAGAGCAUCUAAUUAAGACCACAGCUCCAGUUAAUUGAGCCCAAUUCACCUGUGACAUGAAGAGCCACAAUCCCAUCAGCAAUAAUGGGACUGCAUCGGCUUACACCAGUAAUUACUCCAGAUCAGCAGUAUAACAAAGCUAAUUCAAUACUUCUGCAGGUCCAGCUGCUCAGGCUGCCAGGGGGGUGCUGGAGACAGCCUCCCUUAUGCCCAGCCCCAAAAAGCUGGUGAUGCAGUGCACACUAGCAAUCCCUGCUGAGUUGUACUGCAGGGUGCUGGCAGGUGACUGUGUGCUUGGGGCCAUGCUGGAUGUGGUAGGGUGUCGCGUGAGCUGCUGGCGUGGGCAGACAUGCAAAUUGACAGCUGCACAACCCUGCCAUCAUCGCUACUGCUCCCAUGGGGCUAGGACAAGGGGAUGGGGAUGGGGAUGGGAAGCCUGCAUGGGGUGUCCUGGGCAUAUCAAGGACUGGGAAUGGCAGGGCAGGCCCUGGCUGCCUCAUUCAGGCUGCAGCCCAGAAUGUAGCCCAGCACAGCAAUUCUUUCCUACCUCCGGCCAAAGAAAACUCAGCUGCCACUGUUGUGAGGAGAGGAGCAUUACUGUAGGCCAGUCAAGUUUUGACUGGUCUGAUUUCCAUAACACACUCUGCAAACAUCUGCCUCCUAUUGCAGGCUGGGCUGCACUGGGACAGGUCUCUGAGCCAACACAUCCCCCAGGGCUCUGUCUGCUCUGGUGAAGACAAGUCACAGAUGUGUCUACCAGCAGCCACCACCUGUCCAGGUGCCCUUCCAGGGGUCCCGGCCUGGCUGUCUUCUCCAGAGAGGAACACAUACUAUGGGGCAUCCAUAGUGUCCUUUGGUGCAUCAGAGUUGCGUCUGUGCUGUUGAAUUGCAAGUGCUUCAGUGAGGUGCCCUAAAUGAGGAGCGUUACUGCUCUGCUGUUGUUGGGACAUUUGGCAUGGCCAGGUUGAGAAAGACAAAGGGAGAAAAGCCUCAUGCUGAGAAGCACAAGGCCAGCAAGCACAUUCCUCUGUGACACUCCAUCUCCAGGUUUGAAACAGAGAAGGCAGGCAGCUGGUGCUCGCCACAGUGGCCAGGCAGUGCCCUGCACCCUGGGCAGAAGAAGCCCACAGCUCCAUUCGCUCCUUUGUGUCCGCAAAGUGCAAGCAUCAAACAAAAACAAGCAAAGCACUCUGCAGGGUUGGCUACAGCACCUUCCGCUUCAGGUUUGGCUGAUUGAGCCCUGGCCCCAGGCUUGGCUGAAAGCCUCCUGGUUCAUCCUGCUUCAAACCAGCACGUUUCGAAACUUGUGCUUUGCAUCCUUCAGGAAGGAAACAAGAUCAGAAGGCACCACAUGUCUUUUCUGUACAGGAUUUCUCAUUUUGUCAUGACCUUCUGCUCUCUGCUUAGGCAUCAGCUGUCCCUACCACAGCUUCUCCCUCAGUCAGCAAGCAGCACGUCCCACACCUGGCAUUUCCAUUGCCAAGCCACAGACCUGCUUGCACUUUUGCAGCACACAUGAUGUCCUGCCCAGACAAUGUCACCAACCAGUGGGACCAGAAGAAACAGGCUGGCAUUGGCGGGACAGCUCCAGCCCCAGCUCAACCCCUGCUGCUGGCAACCCAGGGGACAGCUACUAAAAAAAACAAAGCAAUUCUCUUUAUUUGACCUCUUUUAUCGACACAGGGAUGAAUGGGAUUAGGUAUCAAGCUACACAUCUUUACAUGUUGUUGUUUCUUUUUUUUUGAACUGAGUGAGCAUUUAUGCUGUGUGGGGCAACUUCCAGCUUACGGAAAUCAGAUGGAAGGUGUUGGUUUUUCACACUGUGGGCCUCGUCUCUCACACCAUAUCUCACAGUAACAUCUAUGCUCAUUAAUUAACUCUUCUCCUUUCAGUUCGCAAUCCUAUAAACAUCUCUAUAGCAGCUGAUGUCAUUGUUUACACAGAAAAGUGUGACAUACAUUUCUCUCAGAGCAGCCUGAAGUGAGAAGAGCCAGCAGCAGGUUAGCAAGCAGCUUUCUGAAAUCCCCUCAAACCCACAGCAACAGCAGCACCAAGCAUCAGCGCCUCCAGCCCAGCACAUCUGCUGGUCCCCUGCACUUUGUUUACAGCCACGACAUGUCCCUGUCUGAUCUGCCGUUCCAUGAUUGACAUCAGUCAGACUUCCCACCUCUGCCAAUCAGUGUUCCCAACUAGUUCUGUGUUCUUGGAUCUAUCCAGACACAUAUCAGGGCCAUGGGGUGUGACGCUCUCCUCCUUGUAGGCAAAGGCUUGAGCCAUGUGCUCGAUUCAGUCAAGACAGCUAGCAUCAAAAAUAUAAUGAAUCAGCCAAUGAUCAAAAAAGAUAAAUAAGACUGCUCUUUUUUUUUUUCCUAUGUUAAAAACAUCCCUAUACGAUUUAAAUGCACAGCAAGGCAGGGGGAAGUGGGAACAUAUCACCAUAAGAAAAUGCCUUCAUUGUUUUUGUUUGAGAUUCCACAUUUUUCACCAAACAUUUAAUCAGAAAUCACAGUUCAUCUUUGAAGGGAUUUUUCAGAGCCCUCAGUUCACUGCUGCAGUCUGCAGCGGUUUUGCAGGGAGGGAGAGGCACAGCCUAGCCCCCUGCCUCGGCAUUUAGGGGCAUGCAGGAGGUGUGUGAGGGUGGGGAGAGCAGCUUGUGCUGAAGGCA